Molecule: ribosomal RNA, 207 nt
Filed under: uncultured bacterium
Lineage: Bacteria
Description: partial 16S ribosomal RNA
Rfam family: Bacterial small subunit ribosomal RNA
Source: RNAcentral
CGUGUAGGCGGCCAAGCAAGUCAAAGGUGAAAGCCCUGGGCUCAACCUGGGAACUGCCUUUGAAACUGUUUGGCUUGAGACCGGAAGAGGAUGGCGGAAUUCCCAGUGUAGAGGUGAAAUUCGUAGAUAUUGGGAAGAACACCGGUGGCGAAGGCGGCCAUCUGGUCCGGUUCUGACGCUGAGGCGCGAAAGCGUGGGGAGCAAACA